GUUUGAUCAUGGCUCAGGAUGAACGCUAGCGGCAGGCCUAAUACAUGCAAGUCGAACGCUCAGUAGCAAUACUGGGAGUGGCGCACGGGUGCGUAACGCGUACACAAUCUACCUCUAAGCGGGGGACACCUCCUGGAAACGGGGAUUAAUACCGCAUAAUAUGCCGAAGUCGCAUGACUUUGGUAUUAAGGCAGCAAUGCACUUAGAGAUGAGUGUGCGUCCCAUUAGGUAGUUGGUGAGGUAACGGCUCACCAAGCCUAUGAUGGGUAGCCGGUCUGAGAGGAUGGUCGGCCACACGGGCACUGAGACACGGGCCCGACUCCUACGGGAGGCAGCAGUAAGGAAUAUUGGUCAAUGGUGGAAACACUGAACCAGCCAUGCCGCGUGGAGGAAUAAGGUCCUACGGAUUGUAAACUCCUUUUGACGAGGAAGAAAAUGUUAGAUUUAUCUAAUUUUGACGGUACUCGUAGAAUAAGCACCGGCUAACUCCGUG
This 493-nucleotide ribosomal RNA is filed under the name uncultured bacterium. RNAcentral describes it as "bacterial SSU rRNA". It matches the Rfam family "Bacterial small subunit ribosomal RNA", at positions 11 to 507 of the family's 1533-position model. The record is from RNAcentral.